GGUUUGAUCAUGGCUCAGAUUGAACGCUGGCGGGAUGUUUUACACAUGCAAGUCCGGAGCUUGGCAGCACGGACUUCGGUCUGGUGGCGAGUGGCGAACAGGUGAGAGUAAUGUAUCGGAACGUGCCUAGUAGCGGGGGAUAACUACGCGGCGGCGCUAGCUAGCCACCGCAUACGCCCUUCGGGGAAAGCGGGGGACCUUCGGGCCUCGCACUAUUAGAGCGGCCGAUAUCGGAUUAGCUAGUUGGUGGGGUAACGGCUCACCAAGGCGACGAUCCGUAGCUGGUUUGAGAGGACGACCAGCCACACUGGGACUGAGACACGGCCCAGACUCCUACAGGAGGCAGCAGUGGGGAAUUUUGGACAAUGGGGAAACCUGAUCCAGCCAUCCCGCGCAUGUGCGAUGAAGCCUUCGGGUUGUAAAGCACUUUUGGCAGGAAAGAAACGGCACGGGAUAAUACCCCGUGCAACUGACAGUACCUGCAGAAUAGCACCGGCUAACUACGUGCCAACAGCCGCGGUAAUACGUAGUGCAAGCGUUAAUCGGAAUUACUGGGCGUAAAGCGUGCGCAGGCGGUUCGGAAAGAAAGAUGUGAAAUACCAGAGCUUAACUUUGGAACUGCAUUUUAACUACCGAGCUAGAGUGUGUCAGAGGAGGUGGAAUUCCACGCGUGUAGCAGUGAAAUGCGUAGAUAUGCGGAGGAACACCGAUGGCGAAGGCAGCCUCCUGGGAUAACGACGCUCAUGCACGAAAAGCGUGGGAGCAAACAGGAUUAGAUACCCUGUUAGUCCACGCCCUAAACGAUGUCAACUAGCUGUUGGGGCCUUCGGGCCUUGGUAGCGCAACUAACGCGUGAAGUUGACCGCCUGGGAGUACGGUCGCAAGAUUAAAACUCAAAGGAAUUGACGGGGACCCGCACAAGCGGUGGAUGAUGUGGAUUAAUUCGAUGCAACGCGAAAAACCUUACCUACCUUGACAUGUCUGGAAUCCCGAAGAGAUUUGGGAGUGCUCGCAAGAGAACCGGAACACAGGUGCUGCAUGGCUGUCGUCAGCUCGUGUCGUGAGAUGUUGGGUUAAGUCCCGCAACGAGCGCAGCCGCUUGUGUUGAGUUGCUACGAAAGGGCACUCUAAUGGGACUGCCGGUGACAAACCGGAGGAAGGUGGGGAUGACGUCAAGUCCUCAUGGCCCUUAUGGGUAGGGCCACGUCAUACAAUGGUCGGGACAGAGGGUCGCCAACCCGCGAGGAGCCAAUCCCCCGAAACCCGAUCGUAGUCCGGAUCGCAGUCUGCAACUCGACUGCGUGGAAGUCGGAAUCGCUAGUAAUCGCGGAUCAGCAUGUCGCGGUGAAUACGUUCCCGGGUCUUGUACACACCUUGCGUCACACCAUGGGAGUGGGUUUUACCAAGUAGUUAGCCUAACCGUAAGGAGGGCGAUUACCACAUUAGGAUUCAUGACUGGGGUAAGUCGUAACAAGGUAAGC
This 1481-nucleotide ribosomal RNA is filed under the name uncultured Bordetella sp. RNAcentral's name for it is "partial 16S-23S ribosomal RNA intergenic spacer". It matches the Rfam family "Bacterial small subunit ribosomal RNA". The record is from RNAcentral. Lineage: Bacteria; Pseudomonadati; Pseudomonadota; Betaproteobacteria; Burkholderiales; Alcaligenaceae.